This 133-nucleotide small RNA is filed under the name Marmota monax (woodchuck). The record is from RNAcentral. Lineage: Eukaryota; Metazoa; Chordata; Mammalia; Rodentia; Sciuridae.
GCUGGGGGCAGUGGCGCAGGCCUGUGAUCCCAGCAGCUGGGAGGCUGAGGCAGGAGGAUCGAGAGUUCAAAGCCAGCCUCAGCAACAGAGAGGCACUUAGGUUGUCCUCAACCCUUCGAUCCUCCUGCCUCAG